Molecule: unclassified non-coding RNA, 377 nt
Filed under: Hevea brasiliensis (rubber tree)
Lineage: Eukaryota; Viridiplantae; Streptophyta; Magnoliopsida; Malpighiales; Euphorbiaceae
Source: RNAcentral
GACUUUGACAUCUUACGGCCAUGAGCAUCACGAAUCAUUGGAUGCAAAUAAACCUUCCUAAAUGGAACAGCACCUCCCAGUUUAAUUCCUAACAUUACCAUCCGAGCAACCCAGAAAAAUAGAAUGUCAUGCCCAGUUUCAAGUACAGAAGUCGGGUAAAAUGCUUUCAAAUCAUCAGUAUCAUCUGGCCAACCCAAUACAGACAAUGGAAAUAGACCAGAAGAAAACCAAGUGUCAAGAACAUCAGGAUCUUGACUCAUCUCAAAUUUCUUUCCAGGAAAUUUCACGCUAGCCUCUGCUAAAGCCUCUUUCUCAUCUCGAGCAACCACCCAAUGGUCAUUGUAGACGCCAAGUUCCUUCAAUUCAUCGUCAUCAAG